Molecule: non-coding RNA, 316 nt
Organism: Hydra vulgaris (swiftwater hydra)
Lineage: Eukaryota; Metazoa; Cnidaria; Hydrozoa; Anthoathecata; Hydridae
Source: RefSeq, a predicted model, not a curated record
UUUGAAGGAAAGUUUUUCUGCAUGUUUUUCUAACCAAGUAAUUAUGCACUAAACAAGUGAAUUGACAAAGAAUACCAACAAAUUUAUUGUCCCAAAAAAAAACUAUAAUCAUGCACUGAAAAACAACCUUUUGUCAACAAAAGAAUGGCACAAAUUUCCAUUGAUAAAGUAUUCAUUUUCAUGUUGUGAAGAAUACAACUUUCUACAUCAGAUGAGAUAUAUGUUAAAGAAAGCAUUAAAAAUAAGAAUAACAAAUCAUACCGCUCUUCAUUGCCAGAACCUCCGCCACCUAUUAUGAAUAAGCCCAAUGCUAAAA